ACUUUGUAAGGUCUUGUGAGAACAAUUAAUAAAGUGGCCGUAUGCAUCGCCCAGAUGCAGAGGCCGGGGGUCAUCCUCCUUUUCUAAGAAAAACUAAAAAAGAAACUAAAAUGGGUGCCACCUACCUGGCACCGCAAAGCUUCCGCUCAGGAGGCGCACCAAGGGUAUUAUCAUCAAACUGGUGUUUAUGCCCUCAACUAUUAGGAUGAAUAUUUGUUAUAUGUCCAAAAGCCCUCACUCUUGGUAUGUGGCAAUGCAACAUGUCUGCAACAGGAUCAGAGACGAGGAUCGAGAGAAAUAUUAUACUCGGUCAUCCUUUUGUAUCAACUGUAAAGAUGGUAGCAUUUAUGGGCGAGCAAUAGCGGUGACAAGCACAAUCAUGAUAGGUAUAUGCUCAUGUUUUAGUUGCAUGGAUAUGGUCUUCUCAAGCCUACUACACACGCGUGAUAUAACAGCCGACUCGGCAGAAGCACCCAGCUGGACUGGAUAACCACGGCGUGCGCGUGCUGGAGGCCUAGCAGAAGGAGCUGCACACGCGGUGUCUGCAUCUUCGGCCUCGCUGCACCCCAGAAUCGAGUCACAUCGUUGUGGGUUGCGCUUUCUUAACACUAUUUGUCUCAGGGUGUAUUCCAUGGUUCAGAAUACAUGUACUUUAUAAUUUACAAUGCCUGGUUUGGAUAAAAACUGUUCCUUAAGCCUGUCAGAGGUUAUUUGAUAGCACUAUCCCCAGCUGCUAAUUUAUGCCUACA
Long non-coding RNA from Triticum dicoccoides, 749 nucleotides. RefSeq lists it as uncharacterized. Lineage: Eukaryota; Viridiplantae; Streptophyta; Magnoliopsida; Poales; Poaceae. The record is from RefSeq and is a predicted model, not a curated record. The transcript is spliced from 4 exons.